Molecule: unclassified non-coding RNA, 430 nt
Filed under: soil metagenome
Description: partial contains 5.8S ribosomal RNA, internal transcribed spacer 2, and large subunit ribosomal RNA
Rfam family: 5.8S ribosomal RNA (bases 1-120)
Source: RNAcentral
GAUGAAGAACGUAGCGAAAUGCGAUACGUAAUGUGAACUGCAGAAUUCAGUGAAUCAUCGAAUCUUUGAACGCAUAUUGCGCUCUCUGGUAUUCCGGAGAGCAUGCUUGUUUGAGUAUCAGUAAACACCUCAACUCCCUUUUCUUUUUUGAAAUUGGAGCUGGACUUGAGUGAUCCCAACGCUUUCUUCCAAGAAAGUGGCGGGUUGCUUGAAAUGCAGGUGCAGCUGAACUUUUCUCUGAGCUAUAAGCAUAUCUAUUUAGUCUGCCUAAAAAACAGAUUAUUACCUUUGCUGCAGCUAACAUAAAGGAGACUAGUUCUUGUGCUGACUGAUGCAGGAUUCACAGAGACAGCUUCGGCUGACUUUGUAAACUCGAUCUCAAAUCAAGUAAGACUACCCGCUGAACUUAAGCAUAUCAAUAAGCGGAGGA